GCUACUGUGGCUCAGGCGGUAGAGCAGCUGAUUCGUAAUCAGCAGGUCGGGAGUUCGAGUCUCCCCAGUAGCUCCA
Molecule: transfer RNA, 76 nt
Filed under: Clostridiales bacterium
Lineage: Bacteria; Bacillati; Bacillota; Clostridia; Eubacteriales
Description: tRNA-Thr
Rfam family: tRNA
About the family: Transfer RNA (tRNA) molecules are approximately 80 nucleotides in length.
Source: RNAcentral